AGGGUUUGAUCAUGGUUUAGGACGAACGCUGGCGGCGUGCCUAAUACAUGCAAGUCUAGNGGGUANCGAAAGAUACCAGCGGCGGACGGGUGAGGAACACGUGGGGAAUCUGCCUAACAGACCGGAAUAACGCCUGGAAACGGGUGCUAAGGCCGGAUAGGCGCAUGAGGCGCAUGCCCGAUGCGGGAAAGGAUGCUGAGGCAUCGCUGAGAGAGGACCCCGCGGCGCAUUAGCUAGUUGGUAGGGUAAAGGCCUACCAAGGCGACGAUGCGUAGCCGACCUGAGAGGGUGACCGGCCACACUGGGACUGAGACACGGCCCAGACUCCUACGGGAGGCAGCAGUAGGGAAUCUUCCGCAAUGGGCGCAAGCCUGACGGAGCAACGCCGCGUGAGCGAGGAAGGCCUUCGGGUUGUAAAGCUCAGUCAAGGGGGAAGAGCGGCAAGGAGAGGGAAUGCUCUUUGCGAGACGGUACCCCGAGAGGAAGCCCCGGCAAACUACGUGCCAGCAGCCGCGGUAAUACGUAGGGGGCAAGCGUUGUCCGGAAUCACUGGGCGUAAAGGGUGCGUAGGCGGUUCUGCAAGUCUGGGGUGAAAGGCCAGGGCUCAACCUUGGGAAGCCUUGGAAAUGUANGACUUGAGUACUGGAGAGGCAAAGGGGAAUCCACGUGUAGCGGUGAAAUGCGUAAAGAUGUGGAGGAANACCAGUGGCGAAGCGCCUUGCUGGACAGUGACUGACCUGAAGCACGAAAACGUGGGGAGCAAACAGGAUAGAAACCCUGGAAGUCCACGCCGUAAACAAGAAUGCUAAGGGUUGGGGGGGACCACCUCAGGGCCGAAGGAAACCCAAAAAGCACUCCGCCGGGGGAGACGGGCCCAAAAUGAAACCAAGGAUUGA
RNAcentral lists this ribosomal RNA (896 nucleotides) under uncultured Sulfobacillus sp. RNAcentral describes it as "bacterial SSU rRNA". It matches the Rfam family "Bacterial small subunit ribosomal RNA", at positions 9 to 873 of the family's 1533-position model. The record is from RNAcentral. Lineage: Bacteria; Bacillati; Bacillota; Clostridia; Eubacteriales; Clostridiales Family XVII. Incertae Sedis.